Molecule: long non-coding RNA, 1668 nt
Organism: Rhinopithecus roxellana (golden snub-nosed monkey)
Lineage: Eukaryota; Metazoa; Chordata; Mammalia; Primates; Cercopithecidae
Exons: 3
Source: RefSeq, a predicted model, not a curated record
AGCGGUUGGCACAGGGCCUGGAGAUGGGGACCAGCCAGGCGUGCAGGGGACGCUGCCUCUCCUCCAUCCAACAACAAGCCUGCGUGUGCCCAGCUCCCUCCGGUACAUGCCUUUCUCCACAUCCUUAGAAUUGAUCAAUUGAAAAUAAGACCUUGGAAGAACCCCUUUUGAAGCAGACACUGUACAAGCCAAGGCAGCCCGAACGUCCGCCCCGGUUCCGGUGCUGAGGCCCGAACGUCCGCCCCGGUUCGAUGCUGAGGCCCGAACGUCCGCCCCGGUUCCGGUGCUGAAGCCCUAAUCCCCGGUGACUGCAUUUGGAGAUCACCUUUCAGCACGUGCCGGGGGGUGAGUGAGGUCACCAGGCCGGGGCCCUCAUCUGCUGCGGGUCCUUCUAAGAAGCCGAAGAGGCACCAGGCGGCCCCAGAGAGGGUCAGCGAGGGGCCUCCGCUGUCUGAGUCCGCUCCUGGCAACGCCUGCUCUCUGCACUCGGAGGCCCGGUCCCGGCAGCUGCCACGUUGCUCAGAAGUUCUGGCCGGGGGAGCCUGAAACCCCUGUCUGCUGGCGACACUCCCGGAGCUGCAGGAAAUCUCUACAUUUUAUUUUUUUUCUUAACAGACAAAAGUAUUUGACUCCAGAAUGAUUUCCAGGAAUUACAGUAUGAGAACUUAGUCCUUGAGAUUUUUAUUUUCUUCUUAAAACAAUGAAAAUGAAAUCAAAGCAGAAGACACUGGGUUGAGCAGACGGCACACUAGCACAUUCCACUUUGCAACAAAACGUGCGUGCUUCCUGCCCGGUCUACCUCAGAUGGGGACCACAGGUUUCAUAGCCUCUCCUCUGGAAGGACUUCAGGGCGGGAGGGAAGUGCUGGGGUAGGAGGGGCAGGCAGAACCUGGAAACUGCGCCCCGUUCUUUCUUCUUUCCUUUCUUCUCGGAACUCCACUGCCAGAGGGCUUGGAGUGCUUCUUGGGGAUCUGGCAUCUGCUUCUCCUCUGUCCCUCAUUCAGAGUUCUCACUGCAAGAAAAGCAAGAGAAAGGCUCAAAAAGCCCUUCAGACUUGGAGCCAUUCCACGGUGAUGAUUAAACCACCAAACAAAGGUGCUGGCAGGGCCAUGUCGAGAGGCACCUCUAGGAAAUCUCACACAGCCCACACCACUCCCCUCUCCUGCACGGCAGUGACCCUCCGGUGAAAGGGUACAGCCUGUUGUGCCAGCUUUGCUCUUGGGAUCAUUGCAGUCUCUGGCGUUGUGACUCCAGGUGGGCUCCGUGCCUUCCGGGACCUCUUUGUCCUUGUCAGGCCAGUGGGGGCCACAGAGACCUCACUGGCUUCCUAUGAAUAUUCAAUGGGAUUCGCUGUGGAGGGAGCUUCCAUAAAGCAGAAAGGGGUCCCUGGUGUUGGCUAUUAGUGUUAUUUUCUUUUAAAUCAUCUGUGCUCCUUCAAAGACGACAUAAGAAGCUUGUGCCUGGCGUUGCUGAAAUCUCUGGCUGUAGGAAUUAAAGCCUACGUGUCCUCCCGAUGGGGUGGUGAAAAUGUAAACGGUGAAUAGUGCCAGCCACAGGGAGCAUUGCAGAGAGUAACCAAGUGUGUGAUAAACAUGCUGCCUUAUGUGUGUGAACGGCCAGGAGACCAAUGCUUUUGCCUGAGUAACCUCUGCAAAGACACAGAAAUAA